Molecule: ribosomal RNA, 395 nt
Filed under: uncultured bacterium
Lineage: Bacteria
Description: partial 16S ribosomal RNA
Rfam family: Bacterial small subunit ribosomal RNA
Source: RNAcentral
AUCCGUAGGGUGCAAGCGUUAAUCGGAAUUACUGGGCGUAAAGCGUGCGCAGGCGGAUUUUUAAGUCAUGGGUGAAAUCCCCGGGGUCAACCUGGGAACUGCCAUUUGUGCUUCAAGGCCGGGAGGCGGCCGAGGGGGCAUGAGAUCCUCGUGUAGGAGAGAAAUGCGUAGAUAUGCGGAGGAACACCGAUGGCGAAGGCAAUCCCCUGGGCCUGCACUGACGCUCGUGCACGAAAGCGUGGGGAGCAAACAGGAUUAGAUACCCUGGUAGUCCACGCCCUAAACGAUGUCAACUGGUUGUUGGGGAUUUAUUUUCUCAGUAACGAAGCUAACGCGUGAAGUUGACCGCCUGGGGAGUACGGCCGCAAGGUUGAAACUCAAAUGAAUUGACGGGG